GAUGAACGCUGGCGGCGUGCCUAAUACAUGCAAGUCGAGCGAAUGGAUUAAGAGCUUGCUCUUAUGAAGUUAGCGGCGGACGGGUGAGUAACACGUGGGUAACCUGCCCAUAAGACUGGGAUAACUACGGGAAACCGGGGCUAAUACCGGAUAACAUUUUGAACCGCAUGGUUCGAAAUUGAAAGGCGGCUUCGGCUGGUACUUAUGGAUGGACACGCGUCGCAUUAGCUAGUUGGUGAGGUAACGGCUCACCAAGGCAACGAUGCGUAGCCGACCUGAGAGGGUGAUCGGCCACACUGGGACUGAGACACGGCCCAGACUCCUACGGGAGGCAGCAGUAGGGAAUCUUCCGCAAUGGACGAAAGUCUGACGGAGCAACGCCGCGUGAGUGAUGAAGGCUUUCGGGUCGUAAAACUCUGUUGUUAGGGAAGAACAAGUGCUAGUUGAAUAAGCUGGCACCUUGACGGUACCUAACCAGAAAGCCACGGCUAACUACGUGCCAGCCGCCGCAGUAA
Molecule: ribosomal RNA, 515 nt
Filed under: uncultured bacterium
Lineage: Bacteria
Description: partial 16S ribosomal RNA
Rfam family: Bacterial small subunit ribosomal RNA
Source: RNAcentral